This 1461-nucleotide ribosomal RNA is filed under the name uncultured bacterium. RNAcentral's name for it is "partial 16S ribosomal RNA". It matches the Rfam family "Bacterial small subunit ribosomal RNA". The record is from RNAcentral.
GACGAACGCUGGCGGCAUGCUUAACACAUGCAAGUGGUGCGACGAACCUUUUAGGGGCAAAGCCGCGAACGGGUGAGUAACACGUGGGCAAUCUGCCCAGUAGACCGGAAUAACUCAAGGAAACCUGAGCUAAUACCGGAUGUGCCGUACCUCCAUAAGGAGGUCCGGUAAAGAGAGCUUCGGCUAUUCGCUAUUGGAGGAGCCUGCGGAGUAUUAGGUAGUUGGUGGGGUAAAGGCCUACCAAGCCGACGAUACUUAGCUGGUCUGAGAGGACGAUCAGCCACACUGGAACUGAGACACGGUCCAGACUCCUACGGGAGGCAGCAGUGGGGAAUCUUGCACAAUGGGCGACAGCCUGAUGCAGCAAUGCCGCGUGAGGGAAGACGGCCUUCGGGUUGUAAACCUCUUUCAGUUGGGAAGAAGGGUGGACGGUUAAUAGCCGGCUCACUUGACGGUACCUUCAGAAGAAGCUCCGGCUAACUACGUGCCAGCAGCCGCGGUAAUACGUAGGGAGCAAGCGUUGUCCGGAAUCAUUGGGCGUAAAGCGCGUGUAGGCGGUUACAUAAGUCUGUUGUGAAAGUCGGAGGCUCAACCUUCGAAAGCCGAUGGAUACUGUGUGACUUGAGUACGGAAGAGGAGAGUGGAAUUCCUGGUGUAGCGGUGAAAUGCGCAGAUAUCAGGAGGAACACCAACGGCGAAGGCAGCUCUCUGGGACGUUACUGACGCUGAGACGCGAAAGCGUGGGGAGCAAACAGGAUUAGAUACCCUGGUAGUCCACGCCGUAAACGAUGGUCACUAGAUGUGGGGGGUGUCGACUCCCUCCGUGUCGUAGCUAACGCGUUAAGUGACCCGCCUGGGGAGUACGGCCGCAAGGCUAAAACUCAAAGGAAUUGACGGGGACCCGCACAAGCAGCGGAGCAUGUGGAUUAAUUCGACGCAACGCGAAGAACCUUACCUGGGCUUGACAUACUGCUGACCUCCAUGGAAACAUGGACUUCCUUCGGGACAGCAAUACAGGUGGUGCAUGGCUGUCGUCAGCUCGUGUCGUGAGAUGUUGGGUUGAGUCCCGCAACGAGCGCAACCCCCGUCCUAUGUUGCCAGCAUUCAGUUGGGGACUCAUAGGAGACUGCCGGUGACAAACCGGAGGAAGGUGGGGAUGACGUCAAGUCCUCAUGGCCCUUACGGGCUGGGCUACACACGUGCUACAACGGCGGUGACAGUGGGCAGCUAACCCGCAAGGGCAAGCUAAUCCCAAAAAGCCGUCUCAGUUCGGAUUGCACUCUGCAACUCGAGUGCAUGAAGUUGGAAUCGCUAGUAAUCGUGGAUCAGCAUGCCACGGUGAAUACGUUCCCGGGCCUUGUACACACCGCCCGUCACACCAUGGGAGUUGGGUUUACCCGAAGACGGUGCGCUAACCAGCAAUGGAGGCAGCCGGCCACGGUAGGCUCAGCGACUGGGGUG